Molecule: transfer RNA, 65 nt
Filed under: Pinnotheres excussus
Lineage: Eukaryota; Metazoa; Arthropoda; Malacostraca; Decapoda; Pinnotheridae
Description: tRNA-Gly
Source: RNAcentral
UAUUUCUUUAAUAUAAUAAGUAUAUUUGACUUCCAAUCAAAAAGUCUGACUUUCAGAAGAAAUAA